Long non-coding RNA from Trifolium pratense (red clover), 2351 nucleotides. RefSeq lists it as uncharacterized. The record is from RefSeq and is a predicted model, not a curated record. The transcript is spliced from 2 exons. Lineage: Eukaryota; Viridiplantae; Streptophyta; Magnoliopsida; Fabales; Fabaceae.
UGUUACGAUGGACGCACGCGCACUGGAUCCCUACAGUAUAAAUACCAGACUCCUUCAGAAAAAAUCAUCUGCAACAAUUUUUUCUCUCUCUUCUCUUCUAUCCUCUCUUGCUCUCCUCUCUCUUCUCUUCUAUCGGUCACCGGCCUGCCGCCGGCCAGCCCCACCUUCAUCGGAAAAUCCCAAAAGAAACCUAAAAAAUCCGAAAUUCACCAAAUUCAACACUAAAACUCCCACCUCCCCAAAUAUUAAUCCAAACUCAAAAACACAAAAUCAAAUGAAACAACUUUAAACCCAAAAAAUCACAUCUCUUCUGUUUUAGAUCUACACAAAUCAAAACCAGUAAAGAGUGAAAUAUUUAUGAAGAUCUAAAGUUUAGAUCUGCUGCUGGUUUCGAAGGAAAAAAAAUAGUAAAGGUUAUUGAUAAUUCAUGGAGGCAAGGAUUGUAGUCAAUUUUGGUUUAUGCAGAGUGUUUGUCCAGUAUAUCCUCUUUUUUUGAAGCUAGUGAAAAGUGAUGAAUCAAUAUUUGAUUCCUAAUUUUUCUCAUCCUAUCACUGCUAUUCUUUUGUAUAAAUAUUUUAGAUGUUUCCAGAUCUAAUUUGAUUUUAAUAUAAAUCUGUUGUUUUACAUGCAACACCUGCAAAUUAUACAUGAUUAACAAAAAAAAAUGUUAUUUAUGGAGAUUUUGAUGGAAUACAUGUAAGAUGAUACCCGUGGAUUUUUAAUUGUACACCUGCAAAAAAAAAAAAUACCAACAUUUGUCAAUAAUAUUAUAUGAAAAAUAAACAAACGCAUGCAAUAUGCAGAAAAACAAAUUGUAUGAAGGAUGGUGAAAAAUAAACAAAUGCAUGUAAUAUGCAGAAAAUAAAUUGUGGAAGUGUGUGGGUUGAAGGAGAGAGGAGAUACAUGGAGAGAGAGGGAGGACGAGAGGGAGAGAGAGAGACUUGAUGGUGGUUUAGAGGAGGUAGAGAGAAUGGAGAAUGAGUUGGUUGUUGAUAGAUUGGAGAGUGUUAUAUAGUGUUAGUGGAAAGGAACAAUAGAAGAACAACCAAUGCAUGUAAUCCAAGUAGUGGAAUAAGAAUAAACAUAAAAAUAACAAAUGGCCCCCACAAAAUCCAAACUUUUAUGUGGAUUGCGGCACAUGAACGUCUCCUGACUAACUAUCGUCGUAGCAAAUGGGGAAUUGGAGUUUCACCCAAUUGUCCUUGUUGUGGAAACGGUGAUGAAACACUCAUCCAUGUUUUGCGAGAUUGUGUUUACGCAACCCAGGUAUGGAUCAAGUUAGUUGCUUCAAUUCAUAUUACUAAUUUCUUUUCUUUGAAUUGCAAAGACUGGAUCUUUAAGAACCUCGCCAAUCAGGAGUGGCGAUCUAUAUUCAUGGUGACUUGUUGGAAUCUUUGGAUGUGGAGGAACAAAUCUAUUUUUGAGGAGGACUUUCAUAGGCCUAUUGAUCCUAGUCGUGUCAUUCUUGAUUUGGUUCAAGCCAUCGAUAUGGGAGAUCAUCUGCACCUAACAGGAGGAUGGUAUGGUUGGGAAACUUCGAUCUAGGUGGAUUGGCCCUUUUGUUGUUACUAAUGUUUUCCCUCAUGGUGCAGUAGAAAUAAAAAGUGCAGGUACUAUCUUGCAGGCUUCUCAGGAUUCAUUCCAGAGUCAUCUGAUAUUUUUGCUAGCUGAAUUAUAUGCUAUUUACAAGGGCCUCUUGUUGGCCAAAGAUAUGAAUAUCAAUGAACCUGUUUGCUACUCUGAUUCUUUACACUGUGUUAACCUCAUCAAAGGUUCCUCCAGUUAAAUAUCAUAUUCAUGAUGUGUUGAUCCAAGAUAUAAAGGAGUUAUUCUCUAAAUCCAAUGUUUCUCUUCAUCACACACUUAGAGAAGGGAUCAAUGUGCCGAUUUCUUCGCUAAACUUGAAGCCUCUCUCAGAUGAUGACUUCUUGAUUCAUGCUUCUCCUCCGUCCUCCAAUUAAUUAUCAUAUUCAUGAUCUGUUGAUCCAAGAUAUAAAGGAGCUACUCUCUCAAACCAAUGUUUCUCUUCAAUAUCACACACUUAAAGAAGGGAAUCAAUGUACCGAUUUCUUCGCUAAACUUGGAGCUAUAUGCUGACUUCUUGAUUCAUGCUUCUCCUCCGGAAGGCACUCGUGAUCUUCUUAUAAACGACGCAAUGAGAACCUUAUUUCUUCGUGAAUAGUUUUUCUUUCUUCCUUUUUUAUUUUUUUUUCUUUUAGCUUCCUUACAAAAAAAAAGUCCUGCUUGGUUGAUCACCACCUCUAUGUAUAUGAGGAGUCUUUUUUUUUUUUUUUAAAGAAUGAAAAUAGUAUUUUAUUAAAAUUUAUUUAUUUGAUGAAGAAAUUACAAUA